Molecule: ribosomal RNA, 460 nt
Filed under: uncultured bacterium
Lineage: Bacteria
Description: partial 16S ribosomal RNA
Rfam family: Bacterial small subunit ribosomal RNA
Source: RNAcentral
CCUACGGGAGGCAGCAGUGAGGAAUAUUGGUCAAUGGGCGCAAGCCUGAACCAGCCAAGUCGCGUGAGGGAAGACGGCCCUACGGGUUGUAAACCUCUUGUGCCGGGGAGCAAGCCUGAGCACGUGUGCCCAGGCGGAGAGUACCCGGAGAAAAAGCAUCGGCUAACUUCGGGCCAGCAGCCGCGGUAAUAGGGAGGAUGCGAGGGUGCUCCGGAUUUAGUGGGUUAAAAGGGUCCGCAGGGGGGGUGUUAAGCCGGCGGUAAAAAUUCAGGGCUCAACCCGGGCGAGCCGUCGGAACUUGCAGUCUUGAGUGGGCGAGAAGUAUGCGGAAUGCGUGGUGUAGCGGUGAAAUGCAUAGAUAUCACGCAGAACGCCGAUUGCGAAGGCAGCAUACCGGCGCCCGACUGACGCUGAGGCACGAAAGCGUGGGGAUCGAACAGGAUUAGAUACCCUGGUAGUC